This is a long non-coding RNA of Nannospalax galili (Upper Galilee mountains blind mole rat), 993 nucleotides long. RefSeq lists it as uncharacterized. The record is from RefSeq and is a predicted model, not a curated record. The transcript has 4 exons. Lineage: Eukaryota; Metazoa; Chordata; Mammalia; Rodentia; Spalacidae.
GUCACCGGUGCGCUCCGGGCGCCUGCGGGCUGCGGCCCGGGGCUGGGGUGGGCGACCUGGACUCGCCCUGUCCCCAAAGCCCCUAGAGGCAGAAAUUGAGGAGCCCCGGGGUGCAGCCUGCCAUUACAGCACACAGACGCCUGAGGGAUCACUUGAGUCCCAAGAGUUCAAGACCAGCCUGGGCAACAAAGUGAGUCACUCCACCUGAGAAGGAGUUAAUUCUUGAUUCUGCUUUGGAAAUAACUUCCACACUCUCCUUAUCUGUUGCAGAUGUGGGUUGGAUCUCCCAGAUGCCAGGAGUGCAGUGGAAACGGCAUGGAGACCUAACCACUCAGCAGAACUGAAAAGGCCAACUGUACACUUAAAGUUGCUGUGUCCAAACUGUGUCAAGAGGAUCAUGAAAAGAGGAUCAUCAGCCUCUGGGUCUGAUCUGCAUUAGAGCUGCCCCCAAAGGGAAACUCAAGCUCAGACUCUUUAAAACACUAUAUGGACUGUCCUUUCUUUGGGAACUAGUUCUAAAGUACAUGCUGAUAUGGAAAUUGGACUAGCAAUAAAACAUAAUCAACUUAGGGCACAUGAUCCUGACCCUUUAUGGGUAUGAAACGUAUAAACUUCCUUCUACUCCAGGGAUAAGAGUUCAACCCCAUGAACCAGAGGAUAAAGUAUGCUUUAAAACCUGGGGGCUAGAAAGAGACGGUUCAUUGGUUAAAGUAUUUGCUGUGCAAGAAUGAGAACUCGCGCUCCAAUCCCCAGUCCCCAUACAUAAAACCAAAUAUGGCACCUGUAACCACAGUGUUGUUGGGGACAGAGACAGGAGGAUCACUGGCACUUGCUGAGUAGCUCCAGAUUCAGUGAAAGAGUCUGUCUCAAGGGAACAAGUUAGUGAGUGAAAGAGACAGACACGGGAUAUCUUCUUCUGGCCUCAGCAUGCAUCUACACACGUGCACCUACACAGACAUACACUAUACACACACACACACAGACACACACACA